This 78-nucleotide microRNA precursor is filed under the name Trichobilharzia regenti. RNAcentral describes it as "mir-3492 microRNA precursor family". It matches the Rfam family "mir-3492 microRNA precursor family". The record is from Rfam by way of RNAcentral. Lineage: Eukaryota; Metazoa; Platyhelminthes; Trematoda; Strigeidida; Schistosomatidae.
AACCUUUUGUAUUCUUGCUGAAAUUUCAUCAGCAAUCAGUUCAUUAGGGCUGAUGCGAAUUCCCAAAUAAGUGAAGUG